CUGAAUCAGUGUGUGUGUUAGUGGAAGCGUCUGGAAAGGCGCGCGAUACAGGGUGACAGCCCCGUACACAAAAAUGCACAUACUGUGAGCUCGAUGAGUAGGGCGGGACACGUGGUAUCCUGUCUGAAUAUGGGGGGACCAUCCUCCAAGGCUAAAUACUCCUGACUGACCGAUAGUGAACCAGUACCGUGAGGGAAAGGCGAAAAGAACCCCGGCGAGGGGAGUGAAAAAGAACCUGAAACCGUGUACGUACAAGCAGUGGGAGCACGCUUCGGCGUGUGACUGCGUACCUUUUGUAUAAUGGGUCAGCGACUUAUAUUCUGUAGCAAGGUUAACCGAAUAGGGGAGCCGAAGGGAAACCGAGUCUUAACUGGGCGUUAAGUUGCAGGGUAUAGACCCGAAACCCGGUGAUCUAGCCAUGGGCAGGUUGAAGGUUGGGUAACACUAACUGGAGGACCGAACCGACUAAUGUUGAAAAAUUAGCGGAUGACUUGUGGCUGGGGGUGAAAGGCCAAUCAAACCGGGAGAUAGCUGGUUCUCCCCGAAAGCUAUUUAGGUAGCGCCUCGUGAAUUCAUCUCCGGGGGUAGAGCACUGUUUCGGCAAGGGGGUCAUCCCGACUUACCAACCCGAUGCAAACUGCGAAUACCGGAGAAUGUUAUCACGGGAGACACACGGCGGGUGCUAACGUCCGUCGUGAAGAGGGAAACAACCCAGACCGCCAGCUAAGGUCCCAAAGUCAUGGUUAAGUGGGAAACGAUGUGGGAAGGCCCAGACAGCCAGGAUGUUGGCUUAGAAGCAGCCAUCAUUUAAAGAAAGCGUAAUAGCUCACUGGUCGAGUCGGCCUGCGCGGAAGAUGUAACGGGGCUAAACCAUGCACCGAAGCUGCGGCAGCGACACUAUGUGUUGUUGGGUAGGGGAGCGUUCUGUAAGCCUGUGAAGGUGUGCUGUGAGGCAUGCUGGAGGUAUCAGAAGUGCGAAUGCUGACAUAAGUAACGAUAAAGCGGGUGAAAAGCCCGCUCGCCGGAAGACCAAGGGUUCCUGUCCAACGUUAAUCGGGGCAGGGUGAGUCGACCCCUAAGGCGAGGCCGAAAGGCGUAGUCGAUGGGAAACAGGUUAAUAUUCCUGUACUUGGUGUUACUGCGAAGGGGGGACGGAGAAGGCUAUGUUGGCCGGGCGACGGUUGUCCCGGUUUAAGCGUGUAGGCUGGUUUUCCAGGCAAAUCCGGAAAAUCAAGGCUGAGGCGUGAUGACGAGGCACUACGGUGCUGAAGCAACAAAUGCCCUGCUUCCAGGAAAAGCCUCUAAGCAUCAGGUAACAUUAAAUCGUACCCCAAACCGACACAGGUGGUCAGGUAGAGAAUACCAAGGCGCUUGAGAGAACUCGGGUGAAGGAACUAGGCAAAAUGGUGCCGUAACUUCGGGAGAAGGCACGCUGAUAUGUAGGUGAAGUCCCUCGCGGAUGGAGCUGAAAUCAGUCGAAGAUACCAGCUGGCUGCAACUGUUUAUUAAAAACACAGCACUGUGCAAACACGAAAGUGGACGUAUACGGUGUGACGCCUGCCCGGUGCCGGAAGGUUAAUUGAUGGGGUUAGCGGUAACGCGAAGCUCUUGAUCGAAGCCCCGGUAAACGGCGGCCGUAACUAUAACGGUCCUAAGGUAGCGAAAUUCCUUGUCGGGUAAGUUCCGACCUGCACGAAUGGCGUAAUGAUGGCCAGGCUGUCUCCACCCGAGACUCAGUGAAAUUGAACUCGCUGUGAAGAUGCAGUGUACCCGCGGCAAGACGGAAAGACCCCGUGAACCUUUACUAUAGCUUGACACUGAACAUUGAGCCUUGAUGUGUAGGAUAGGUGGGAGGCUUUGAAGUGUGGACGCCAGUCUGCAUGGAGCCGACCUUGAAAUACCACCCUUUAAUGUUUGAUGUUCUAACGUUGACCCGUGAUCCGGGUUGCGGACAGUGUCUGGUGGGUAGUUUGACUGGGGCGGUCUCCUCCUAAAGAGUAACGGAGGAGCACGAAGGUUGGCUAAUCCUGGUCGGACAUCAGGAGGUUAGUGCAAUGGCAUAAGCCAGCUUGACUGCGAGCGUGACGGCGCGAGCAGGUGCGAAAGCAGGUCAUAGUGAUCCGGUGGUUCUGAAUGGAAGGGCCAUCGCUCAACGGAUAAAAGGUACUCCGGGGAUAACAGGCUGAUACCGCCCAAGAGUUCAUAUCGACGGCGGUGUUUGGCACCUCGAUGUCGGCUCAUCACAUCCUGGGGCUGAAGUAGGUCCCAAGGGUAUGGCUGUUCGCCAUUUAAAGUGGUACGCGAGCUGGGUUUAGAACGUCGUGAGACAGUUCGGUCCCUAUCUGCCGUGGGCGCUGGAGAACUGAGGGGGGCUGCUCCUAGUACGAGAGGACCGGAGUGGACGCAUCACUGGUGUUCGGGUUGUCAUGCCAAUGGCACUGCCCGGUAGCUAAAUGCGGAAGAGAUAAGUGCUGAAAGCAUCUAAGCACGAAACUUGCCCCGAGAUGAGUUCUCCCUGACUCCUUGAGAGUCCUGAAGGAACGUUGAAGACGACGACGUUGAUAGGCCGGGUGUGUAAGCGCAGCGAUGCGUUGAGCUAACCGGUACUAAUGAACCGUGAGGCUUAACCUU
RNAcentral lists this ribosomal RNA (2631 nucleotides) under Escherichia coli. RNAcentral describes it as "partial 23S ribosomal RNA". It matches the Rfam family "Bacterial large subunit ribosomal RNA", at positions 312 to 2925 of the family's 2925-position model. Lineage: Bacteria; Pseudomonadati; Pseudomonadota; Gammaproteobacteria; Enterobacterales; Enterobacteriaceae. The record is from RNAcentral.